This 76-nucleotide transfer RNA is filed under the name Ostreibacterium oceani. Its description in RNAcentral is "Cardiobacteriales bacterium ML27 tRNA-Gln". It matches the Rfam family "tRNA". Rfam says of the family: Transfer RNA (tRNA) molecules are approximately 80 nucleotides in length. Their secondary structure includes four short double-helical elements and three loops (D, anti-codon, and T loops). The record is from RNAcentral. Lineage: Bacteria; Pseudomonadati; Pseudomonadota; Gammaproteobacteria; Cardiobacteriales; Ostreibacteriaceae.
AGGGGUAUAGCCAAGCGGUUAAGGCACUGGUUUUUGAUACCAGCAUGCGAAGGUUCGAAUCCUUCUACCCCUACCA